UAAGAAAAAUAGCAUUCUCCACAGCUUCUCUUUGUUUUGGAAAUACUGCAUUCAAACUGAGACUUUGAUAAUUUCUGCAAAGAAUAAUGGCAAGAGGAAAGAAGCUUGCUUGCCCACAGUAACUUCCAGACAAAUGAAAACCCGGGCUGUGUCCUGAGAGUUUUAGGUAAUCCAGGCUCAUAAUUUGAUUUGAGAAGAGCUACUCCAGGCUACUGUGUAAUUAUAGAAGCAUUCGCUCGGCUGGCUCCUGUUCGCCUCGUCACGUUCUACUUCAUUGCCCUUUAUACUAAAGCCCCUGUUGAUGAGAGGGCGGAAACAAUGAAGAAAUAGACAUCAAGAAGCUCUGUGAACAGCAGAAGGUGGCAGUUGGGAACAGUCUCCCAGUGUCUAGAUGGAUAAAAUGAGGACCAGAGAAGUUACAAGAUUUGCUCAAGAUCAUGGAACUGUUAAGUGGUGGCCCACAGAGAUAGGAGUCCAGCUGAUAGCUGAUUUCCUCUAGAACCUCUCCUCUCAGCAGUUCACCCGCAUCGUCUAGAGAUUCAGUUCUUUUCUUUGUUCUUACAGAGUUUUUGAUCUUGUGGUAGAAUAAAGCAGGUGAAGAAACACAUGAAAUUACACAUGUUAAAAAAUCUGCAGGAGUAAGUGCUGGGGAGAGUCAAACUUGCAGGGAAGAAAUGGUUUGGGCCAGAACAUUUCCUAGGAGCCUGUGUCUAUUCUAUGGCAGUGAAGAGUGGGUGGGAGAUCAUUGCUCAGUUAUCUUUUCCUCUGCAGGAAAUCCCUUGGAAAUAAAUGAUUUCUGGUUUUAUUCUGCAAAACGAUCAUGGAAAGUGCUGUGUAAGACGGAGCAAACUCCUGUCCCCAUGGGUGCCUGCCAAAUAAAGUAACUAGGUGCUCAGAUAUUUUCCAGUACAAGUGCUUCAUUAUUA
Molecule: long non-coding RNA, 926 nt
Organism: Heterocephalus glaber (naked mole-rat)
Lineage: Eukaryota; Metazoa; Chordata; Mammalia; Rodentia; Bathyergidae
Source: RefSeq, a predicted model, not a curated record